RNAcentral lists this long non-coding RNA (2684 nucleotides) under Dasypus novemcinctus (nine-banded armadillo). RNAcentral describes it as "lncRNA (ENSDNOG00000052769.1)". The record is from RNAcentral. Lineage: Eukaryota; Metazoa; Chordata; Mammalia; Cingulata; Dasypodidae.
AUCCCAUAUUCUUUUUUACCUUCAGCAAUAAUAUAGUACUUUCUUUGAUUUUGUGACAAAAACUGUACAAUAUUAUUGUUAACUGUAGUCUAUAAGUUCCAUUAAUUAUAUUUUCCCCAUGUCAUUUAAUAACGGUUUAUUGAACACUUACAAUCUGCCUGGCACUGUUUUAGGCCCUGAGAGCCCAUUUGUAGAGGAAACUGACAUUAAUCCUGCCCUCAUGGGGCUUGCCUUCUAAUGGAGGGGAGGUAACAGAUAAUAAAACAAAUAAAAUACACAGGAUGUUAGAUGGUGAUAAGCACAAUGGAGAAAAAGCAAGAAAGAGGACUGGAGCGCACGAGGUGGGGGGUUGUGAUUUUAAAUAAAUUAAGAAGGCCUCCCUGAGAUUGUGACACCUGUGGAAAGAUUCCAAGUAGGGGAGGGAGCUAGUCUUGUGGAAUCUGGGGAAAGCAGGUGCAAAGGUCCUGAGGCAAAAGCGAAUCUGGUGUGUGCCAGGAACAGUAAGAAGCUAGCGUGGCUGCCGAGAACGUGACAGGAGCAGGGAGCCAGCCUGUGUAGGACCUCGUGGGAUAUGGGGGGGUUGGAGCAGAGGGCUUACAUGCCCCCCCCAUGGGUUUGAGUGGCUCCUCUGGCUGCCGUGUUGAACAGACCGUACAUGGGCAAGGGGAGAAGCGGGGAGCCCUGUCAGGAGGCCGCUGCGGGGAUCCAGGGGAGAGAGGGCCCGGAGGGGACACCGUGGAGGGGUGAGAAGUACGUGGGGUUCUGGAUUAUUCUGAAGGCAGAGUCAAAGGGCUCUGCAGACCACAGGUGGUGUGCAGGGUGUGAGAAAGGUGACAAGAACAACAGAAGGUGUUGGCUUGGGCAACUGGAGUGCUGGAGCGGCCCUUUGUGAAGCCCUGAGGAAGGGUGGGGGUGGAGGUUUUGGUUGGGUUUGGAGCAGGCCGUGUGCGAUGUCCCCCGGACAUCCGAGCAGAGCCACUGAGAGGUGCUGGCCCAGAAAGGUUAGCUCCUCCCCUCUUCUCUCGAGCUCCUGUUCAAACACAGAGCUAGACCAGGAAAGAGGCUUCAGAAACUUCCCAGCAGGCCUCGCUCACAGACCUCCUCUUGGCACUUCAUGCUCUGAGACCCCAGGGUGGACCAGGGGAGGGGGCAGGCCUGGCAGAGGCCUGAGCUGCCGGAUGAGAGGGAAGGGCCAGCCACCAAAAGGAGGAUGGACGGACGCAACUCGGCAAGCCCAGGCGGGCGGGCCCAGCCACCACCCUCAGAGGACCUGGCUCUGCCCUCAGCCCCGUCCUACAGGGAGGAGGGCCCGCGGGGCAGGCUGGGCCAGCCCCAAGGGGCAGCCUGGAGGAUGGAGGCCAGAGGCUCAGCGUACUGUCCCCGACCCCCGGGACAACCUCCGCCAGGUCCCGGGCCUAACCCCUGCCCUGGGGCACCCUGCCCUGGAGAUCACAGAGGCAGAGAAGGGGGCUUGGCAGAGCGGCCAGGGGACCCGAGAAGAGCUUCCAGGAGAGGAGACGGAGGCUCAUGGGUCUUUGAAAGCGCCAGUGGCCCUCCGCCGGGACAACCUGUUCAGAACCACAGGAUCGUCACCUCUGACCCAUUUCUGGCCUGGCACACAGCAGGCACGUCUGUCGGGUUCACGAGCACGUGUGGAGCACCUACUGGCUUCCAGGCGCAAGCUAGGUGCUGCCCCCAUGUCCCUGCUUUGGUUUUGUUUUCCUUACUUUCAACGUCAGUCUCUCUGGGCCCAGGGACAGGGGCUGACAGACAGAACCCCCAGCUGCCCACCUUCUGAAGCCGAGGGGGUCCGGGCCCAGCCACAGAGGUUGACGCCUGCCAGGACCCUGGUGACACCCUCUGUCUCCCUCUCUCCCCCCGUCCUCCCCGGAUCCCUCGGUCACUCAGCCGUUCUGGAACUUUGGGCGAGCUUCAAAAGAACUGGAGACCAAGGCUGAGCAGGUUUGCAGACGUCAUGAGCUGAGGCUUCAGACUCACGCCCUCCUCCCGGGGUAACUUGCCUGCAGGGAGCCGGGCCGAUAGCAUCUCUUCCUUCACCCUCUAACUGACCCCGCUUGGCGUAGUGGGAGGCUGUCCUUUUCCAGCCUGUGACAAACCUCAGGGGAAGCCAGUCACCCCUUGGCUGCCUGGUUCCGCUGUCAGGCCGAAGCAGCAGCAGAAGCAAAAGCCCUGGAGCCUCAUCCUUGACCUCUCCCUGCCCCAGCUCUGGCCUGGACGGGAGGGGCUGUGAGCCCCAGGCAGCCAGACCCGAGUGGGACACGACAGGCCUGCAGUCAGCCCCCGUGAGCAGAUGCCCUGGACAGCGGCGGAGCUGGAGAGGCCUCGCACAGCCUCUGCCAGGAAUGCAGGCGGGGAAGGCCUUCGGGGCCAGCUGGGCAAACCUGCACGAUGCCUGGUCAGGAGGCAAAGAGCCCGGGGCCCAGGGUUGCCUGCGCUCUGGACAAAUGCACCAGUGGUCUCUGCAGCACCCUACUCUAACCACUCUAACCACAAACACCCCACAGUGAGGGCCACGUGCCGCCCAGCCCUGGGCUCUAAAGUUCUCUGACAUUCGGUGUCAAGGAAGAAGUCCCAGCUCUCCACGUGCUAGAACUGUGACCUGGGAAGACACCCCAUGCCUCAGUUUCCUUGCCUGCUAAAUGGGGAUAAAACCUAACCUCCAA